Molecule: long non-coding RNA, 844 nt
Filed under: Mus spicilegus (steppe mouse)
Lineage: Eukaryota; Metazoa; Chordata; Mammalia; Rodentia; Muridae
Description: lncRNA (ENSMSIG00000031771.1)
Source: RNAcentral
AUCGAGCAUGAAACUGAAAAUUUCAUUUUCCCCAGACCAAUAUAGCAGGCUUGAUAUGACCUUCUCUGCCUUCCUACAGGUUUGAGAGAUGGUCUUUGACACUACUAUCUACAUGGUGACAGAUUUACCUGAAGACGGCAGUGUGUUCACCCAUCUGGGAAAAAUGAAUGCCGAACAUACAAAAAGACAAAAUAAAAAAAAAUAAAGAAAAUAAGAGUUUCUGGUUAAGAAGAACUUCCCACCAAGAAAAUCUGGAUAAAAGUAAGUAUGCAGUAGAAAACUGAGAUUCAUGAUACAGUAUACUAGAAAAUGCCCUUCAGAGGGUAGCGAGGGUCCUGCAGUUAGGCAGUGGCACCUCAUUUUCCUUUCCUGUGUAUUCUCUUAAGGACCAAGGACAUCACUUUUAUUCUCUGCCAAGAUUCUAUCAUAAGAUAUUUACAAACAAUAUGUAGUCAUUGAGAAAUUAUGUUAUUUUCAUCUAGGGCUGUAAUAAUAUGUCAUGAACAAAGGAAAUUAUUAAAUCUUAAAUUCAAAUGCCUGCAGAUAAUUAAGUAAUAUGUCACACAUUAUGUCUUAAUUUUGAAUAUGUAUAUAUUUCAUUCAUAUUUUAAUGUGAAUUAUCUGUGUAAAACGGAUAAAAUGGGACACACUAUCUUUCUUGCCAUCUGUACAAUCCACUUUUGACUAUUUAAUUCAGUUUCAUCUAUUACUGACAUCUCUUCUUUCUUGUUAAUAGAAUAGUUUUGCUUAACUAUGAUGUGUGGGUUUAUAUCCAAACCUUAGAAGUGCUCCGAGUUUGGGGUGUUAUGGAGUAGAGUUUUCAUUUUAUAAAAUAGAAGUUUUU